This 503-nucleotide ribosomal RNA is filed under the name uncultured bacterium. RNAcentral's name for it is "partial 16S ribosomal RNA". It matches the Rfam family "Bacterial small subunit ribosomal RNA", at positions 30 to 523 of the family's 1533-position model. The record is from RNAcentral.
AUUGAACGCUGGCGGCAUGCUUUACACAUGCAAGUCGAGCGGGGUGAUGGUGCUUGCACUAUCACUUAGCGGCGGACGGGUGAGUAAUGCUUAGGAAUCUGCCUAUUAGUGGGGGACAACAUCUCGAAAGGGAUGCUAAUACCGCAUACGUCCUACGGGAGAAAGCAGGGGAUCACUUGUGACCUUGCGCUAAUAGAUGAGCCUAAGUCGGAUUAGCUAGUUGGUGGGGUAAAGGCCUACCAAGGCGACGAUCUGUAGCGGGUCUGAGAGGAUGAUCCGCCACACUGGGACUGAGACACGGCCCAGACUCCUACGGGAGGCAGCAGUGGGGAAUAUUGGACAAUGGGGGGAACCCUGAUCCAGCCAUGCCGCGUGUGUGAAGAAGGCCUUAUGGUUGUAAAGCACUUUAAGCGAGGAGGAGGCUCUUUUGGUUAAUACCCAAGAUGAGUGGACGUUACUCGCAGAAUAAGCACCGGCUAACUCUGUGCCAGCAGCCGCAGUAA